This 307-nucleotide ribosomal RNA is filed under the name uncultured eukaryote. RNAcentral's name for it is "partial 18S ribosomal RNA". It matches the Rfam family "Eukaryotic small subunit ribosomal RNA", at positions 1470 to 1796 of the family's 1831-position model. The record is from RNAcentral.
CCCUUAGACGUUCUGGGCCGCACGCGCGCUACACUGACACAGGCAACGAGCUUUCCUUUACCGAAAGGUAUGGGUAAUCUUUUGAAACUGUGUCGGGCUGGGGAUAGAUCCUUGCAAUUUUUGAUCUUAAACGAGGAAUUCCUAGUAAGCGCGAGUCAUCAACUCGCGUUGAUUACGUCCCUGCCCUUUGUACACACCGCCCGUCGCUACUACCGAUUGAAUGGCUUAGUGAGGCCUCAGGAUCCGCGCUUAAUGUGUGGAGAAUUUGGACAAACUACGUCAUUUAGAGGAAGUAAAAGUCGUAACA